CAGGUACUCACUCCCUCCACCAAACUGCAGCCAUGCUGGUCAAUGAGACAUCACUGACCUACUUGCUGCCCCCUCUAUGGACCAAAGAAACAUUGCUGGAUCCCUGGUGGCUUUUGAUUAUUAGGAGUGCCACAAGAAUGUACUGAAAUGACAGUGCAAAUACAAGAUGUGUAUUUCAGCUACAUCAAGGAAGUUUGCAAGGACUAAACACUUGUGGCUCUAUCAGCAUUUGUGAAAGUCUAACGCUGCAGAAUGAAAGUGUUUCAAAUGAGCAUAUCAGGUAAUAACUGUGAGUACAGAAAGGAGCAUGCGUCUUGGAAGGUGCCUUAGGAAGUUUCUUCAAGGAACAAGUUAACCACUAAAGAUCAAAACUUGUCCAUAACCCAAGCAAGAAGGAACUAGGCACAGCAUCGUUGGGAGUUGGGCUCUUCUCACUAUUGAUCCACUUCUGACUACUGCCUGCAAGAGCAACUGCACCCUAGCCAUUCAGUCUGCAUCCUCAUGUUGAAAUAAAACCUCCUACAAAGGGGCA
RNAcentral lists this long non-coding RNA (532 nucleotides) under Gallus gallus (chicken). RNAcentral describes it as "long non-coding RNA NONGGAT001087". Lineage: Eukaryota; Metazoa; Chordata; Aves; Galliformes; Phasianidae. The record is from RNAcentral.